This 487-nucleotide ribosomal RNA is filed under the name Staphylococcus haemolyticus. Its description in RNAcentral is "bacterial SSU rRNA". It matches the Rfam family "Bacterial small subunit ribosomal RNA", at positions 61 to 530 of the family's 1533-position model. Lineage: Bacteria; Bacillati; Bacillota; Bacilli; Caryophanales; Staphylococcaceae. The record is from RNAcentral.
GUCGAGCGAACAGACAAGGAGCUUGCUCCUUUGACGUUAGCGGCGGACGGGUGAGUAACACGUGGGUAACCUACCUAUAAGACUGGGAUAACUUCGGGAAACCGGAGCUAAUACCGGAUAAUAUUUCGAACCGCAUGGUUCGAUAGUGAAAGAUGGUUUUGCUAUCACUUAUAGAUGGACCCGCGCCGUAUUAGCUAGUUGGUAAGGUAACGGCUUACCAAGGCGACGAUACGUAGCCGACCUGAGAGGGUGAUCGGCCACACUGGAACUGAGACACGGUCCAGACUCCUACGGGAGGCAGCAGUAGGGAAUCUUCCGCAAUGGGCGAAAGCCUGACGGAGCAACGCCGCGUGAGUGAUGAAGGUCUUCGGAUCGUAAAACUCUGUUAUUAGGGAAGAACAUACGUGNAAGUAACUAUGCACGUCUUGACNGUACCUAAUCANAAAGCCACGGCUAACUACGUGNCAGCAGCCGCGGUAAUACGUAG